GUACACUCCUGCGGGAGGCAGCAGUGGGGAAUUUUGGACAAUGGGCGAAAGCCUGAUCCAGCAAUGCCGCGUGUGUGAAGAAGGCCUUCGGGUUGUAAAGCACUUUUGUCCGGAAAGAAAUCCUUGGCUCUAAUACAGUCGGGGGAUGACGGUACCGGAAGAAUAAGCACCGGCUAACUACGUGCCAGCAGCCGCGGUAAUACGUAGGGUGCGAGCGUUAAUCGGAAUUACUGGGCGUAAAGCGUGCGCAGGCGGUUUGCUAAGACCGAUGUGAAAUCCCCGGGCUCAACCUGGGAACUGCAUUGGUGACUGGCAGGCUAGAGUAUGGUAGAGGGGGGUAGAAUUCCACGUGUAGCAGUGAAAUGCGUAGAGAUGUGGAGGAAUACCGAUGGCGAAGGCAGCCCCCUGGGCCAAUACUGACGCUCAUGCACGAAAGCGUGGGGAGCAAACAGGAUUAGAAACCCUUGUAGUCCC
Molecule: ribosomal RNA, 474 nt
Filed under: uncultured organism
Description: partial 16S ribosomal RNA
Rfam family: Bacterial small subunit ribosomal RNA
Source: RNAcentral